UUCCGGUUGAUCCUGCCGGAAGUUACUGCUAUCGAGGUUCGACUAAGCCAUGCGAGUCGAAUGUAGCAAUACAUGGCGAACUGCUCAGUAACACGUGGACAACCUGCCCUUAGGACGGGGAUAAACCCGGGAAACUGGGUAUAAUACCCGAUAGGUCUCGAUUGCUGGAAUGCAUCGAGAUUUAAAGCUCCGGCGCCUAAGGAUGGGUCUGCGGCCUAUCAGGUAGUAGUGGGUGUAGCGUACCUACUAGCCUACGACGGGUACGGGUUGUGAGAGCAAGAGCCCGGAGAUGGAUUCUGAGACACGAAUCCAGGCCCUACGGGGUGCAGCAGGCGCGAAAACUUUACAAUGCUGGCAACAGCGAUAAGGGAACCUCGAGUGCCAGGUUACAAAUCUGGCUGUCGAGAUGCCUAAAAAGCAUUUCAUAGCUUGGGCCGGGCAAG
This 443-nucleotide ribosomal RNA is filed under the name uncultured archaeon. RNAcentral describes it as "bacterial SSU rRNA". It matches the Rfam family "Archaeal small subunit ribosomal RNA", at positions 1 to 450 of the family's 1478-position model. The record is from RNAcentral.